Polypterus senegalus (gray bichir) is the source of this 309-nucleotide long non-coding RNA. RefSeq lists it as uncharacterized. The record is from RefSeq and is a predicted model, not a curated record. NCBI's taxonomy places the organism in Eukaryota, Metazoa, Chordata, Cladistia, Polypteriformes, Polypteridae. The transcript has 9 exons.
CAGCUGUAUAAGAAAAACGAUCAGCAACAACUAUAGGCCAGGAAUGAGUGUCAUGGCAGAUAAUGGGGAAUCAGCUAAAUCGUUACAGUGGGACCUGGACAAGCAUGCAGACUUAUGAAGAUUUGUGGCAGAGGAAAUGUAAUGUCGAUCAGGAUUUCUACAAAGAGAUGUGCAGGCAAUAAUGCGGACUUUAGAAGCAAUUAGUCUUGAGCUGGAUUCAAUAAGAAGAGAUAUGCAGGCGAUAAGAAUGGAGGUGCAAGGAAUAAGAACUGAGGGAGAGUUAUCAAGAAAAAAUGUUGAAGCUGAAGG